Molecule: ribosomal RNA, 490 nt
Filed under: uncultured bacterium
Lineage: Bacteria
Description: partial 16S ribosomal RNA
Rfam family: Bacterial small subunit ribosomal RNA
Source: RNAcentral
AAUGAACGCUGGCGGCAUGCCUUACACAUGCAAGUCGAACGGCAGCAUGACCUAGCUUGCUAGGUUGAUGGCGAGUGGCGAACGGGUGAGUAAUGCAUCGGAACGUGCCUUUUAGUGGGGGAUAACGUAGCGAAAGUUACGCUAAUACCGCAUAUUCUCUGAGGAGGAAAGCAGGGGGCCUUCGGGCCUUGCGCUAGAAGAGCGGCCGAUGUCGGAUUAGCUAGUUGGUGAGGUAAAGGCUCACCAAGGCAACGAUCCGUAGCGGGUCUGAGAGGAUGGUCCGCCACACUGGGACUUAGACACGGCCCAGACUCCUAAGGGAGGCAGCAGUGGGGAAUUUUGGACAAUGGGCGCAAGCCUGAUCCAGCCAUGCCGCGUGAGUGAAGAAGGCCUUCGGGUUGUAAAGCUCUUUCGGCUGGGAAGAAAUCGCACUCUCUAAUACAGGGUGUGGAUGACGGUACCAGCAUAAGAAGCACCGGCUAACUACGUG